RNAcentral lists this ribosomal RNA (531 nucleotides) under uncultured archaeon. RNAcentral describes it as "bacterial SSU rRNA". It matches the Rfam family "Archaeal small subunit ribosomal RNA", at positions 284 to 816 of the family's 1478-position model. The record is from RNAcentral.
AAUAACCCGGAGAUGAUAUCUGAGACACGAUAUCAGGCCCUACGGGGCGCAGCAGGCGCGAAAACUUCACAAUGUGCGAAAGCACGAUGAGGGAAUCCCAAGUGCUUGCACGUAAGUGUAAGCUGUUUCUUUGNNNAAAACGCAUUGAGAGUAAGGGCUGGGUAAGACGGGUGCCAGCCGCCGCGGUAAUACCUGCAGCUCAAGUGGUGGCCGCUAUUAUUGGGCCUAAAACGUCCGUAGCCGGUUUAUUAAAUGCCUGGGUAAAUCGUGUAGCUUAACUAUACGAAUUCCGGGUAGACUGAUAGACUUGAGACCGGGAGAAGUUAGAGGUACUCCUGGGGUAGAGGUGAAAUUCUGUAAUCCUAGGGGGACCACCAGUGGCGAAGGCGUCUGACUAGAACGGGUCUGACGGUGAGGGACGAAGCCCUGGGGCGCAAACCGGAUUAGAUACCCGGGUAGUCCAGGGUGUAAACGCUGCUUGCUUGAUGUUAGUCGGGCUCCGAGCCCGUAUAGUGUCGGCGGGAAGUUGUU